Molecule: ribosomal RNA, 440 nt
Filed under: uncultured bacterium
Lineage: Bacteria
Description: partial 16S ribosomal RNA
Rfam family: Bacterial small subunit ribosomal RNA
Source: RNAcentral
CCUACGGGAGGCAGCAGUAGGGAAUAUUGCUCAAUGGGGGAAACCCUGAAGCAGCAACGCCGCGUGGAGGAUGACGGUUUUCGGAUUGUAAACUCCUUUUGUUAGAGAAGAUAAUGACGGUAUCUAAAGAAUAAGCACAGGCUAACUCCGUGCCAGCAGCCGCGGGAAUACGGAGGGUGCAAGCGUUACUCGGAAUCACUGGGCGUAAAGGGGGCGUAGGCGGGAUAGCAAGUCAGAUGUGAAAUCCUAUGGCUUAACCAUAGAACUGCAUUUGAAACUGUUAGUCUAGAGUAUGGGAGAGGUAGGUGGAAUUCUUGGUGUAGGGGUGAAAUGCGUAGAGAUCAAGAGGAAUACUGAUUGCGAAGGCGACCUGCUAGAACAUAACUGACGCUGAGGCGCGAAAGCGUGGGGAGCAAACAGGAUUAGAUACCCUGGUAGUC